GACGAACGCUGGCGGCGUGCUUAACACAUGCAAGUCGAACGGAAAGGCCCUGCUUUUGUGGGGUGCUCGAGUGGCGAACGGGUGAGUAACACGUGAGUAACCUGCCCUUGACUUUGGGAUAACUUCAGGAAACUGGGGCUAAUACCGGAUAGGAGCUCCUGCUGCAUGGUGGGGGUUGGAAAGUUUCGGCGGUUGGGGAUGGACGCGCGGCUUAUCAGCUUGAUGGUGGGGUAGUGGCUUACCAAGGCUUUGACGGGUAGCCGGCCUGGGAGGGUGACCGGCCACAUUGGGACUGAGAUACGGCCCAGACUCCUACGGGAGGCAGCGGUGGAGAAGAGUGCACAAUGGGCGGAAGCCUGAUGCAGCAAAGCCGCGUGCGGGAUAACGGGCUUCGGGUUGGAAACCGCUUUCGCCUGUGACGAAGCGUGAGUGACGGUAAUGGGUAAAGAAGCACCGGCUAACUACGUG
This 468-nucleotide ribosomal RNA is filed under the name uncultured bacterium. RNAcentral's name for it is "partial 16S ribosomal RNA". It matches the Rfam family "Bacterial small subunit ribosomal RNA", at positions 28 to 507 of the family's 1533-position model. The record is from RNAcentral.